Non-coding RNA from Neurospora tetrasperma FGSC 2509, 123 nucleotides. The record is from Rfam. Lineage: Eukaryota; Fungi; Ascomycota; Sordariomycetes; Sordariales; Sordariaceae.
ACAUAUACCAUAUUCACUGGGCCAAAACUCGGGAUCCCGUCCCCUCUCCCCUAGACAAGCCAGUGACCGCCAGGCUAGUAGUCGGCUCGGUGAUGACCGGUGAACCACCUGGUGUUGUAUGAU